Non-coding RNA from Paralichthys olivaceus (Japanese flounder), 386 nucleotides. NCBI's taxonomy places the organism in Eukaryota, Metazoa, Chordata, Actinopteri, Pleuronectiformes, Paralichthyidae. The record is from RefSeq and is a predicted model, not a curated record.
UAUAAAGAUAGUUUCUCUGUCUUGUCAGGGGCUGGGCACCACAGACAGUGUCCUCAUCAGAAUUAUGGUCGCCAGGGCUGAGAUUGACAUGUUGGACAUUAAGGCUCAGUUCCUGAAGAUGUACGGCAAGACUCUGCACUCCUUCAUCAAGGGAGACACAUCUGGCGACUACCGCAAAAUCCUGCUGGAGCUGUGCGGAGGCGAGUAGCAGAAACAUCACAGCAUCAUCAAGCUCCGUCUUCACUCUGCAGACGACUUCAUGAGUUUUUUUUGCUUGAUGACUUCUCUAUAUUUUCUUCUUGAGCUGCCUUCACAUUUCACCUAUAGACCACAAUGCCUUGCUUUGCUGAUUGCAAUACCAAUUAAACCAAAGUUUUGUAACCUUU